GACGAACGCUGGCGGCGUGCCUAACACAUGCAAGUCGAGCGGGGUUGAAGCGAGAGGUAACUCGAACUUCUACCUAGCGGCGGACGGGUGAGUAACGCGUGGGCAACCUGCCUCAAGGUCUGGGAUAACAGCCCGAAAGGGCUGCUAAUACUGGGUAUGCUUGUGGCCUCGCAUGGGGCUAUGAGCAAAGGGGAAACCCGCCUUGAGAUGGGCCCGCGUCCCAUCAGCUAGUUGGUGAGGUAACAGCUCACCAAGGCGACGACGGGUAGCCGGCCUGAGAGGGUGACCGGCCACACUGGGACUGAGACACGGCCCAGACUCCUACGGGGGGCAGCAGUGGGGGAUCUUGCACAAUGGACGAAAGCCUGAUGCAGCGACGCCGCGUGAGCGAAGAAGGCCUUCGGUUGUAAAGCUCUGUCUGGAGGGACGGAAGGAAGUGACGGUACCUCCGGACGGAAGGCCACGGCUAACUAACGUGCCAGCAGCCGCGGUAAGUCACGAGAGUACG
RNAcentral lists this ribosomal RNA (508 nucleotides) under uncultured bacterium. RNAcentral's name for it is "bacterial SSU rRNA". It matches the Rfam family "Bacterial small subunit ribosomal RNA", at positions 28 to 536 of the family's 1533-position model. The record is from RNAcentral.